Molecule: long non-coding RNA, 2146 nt
Organism: Toxorhynchites rutilus septentrionalis
Lineage: Eukaryota; Metazoa; Arthropoda; Insecta; Diptera; Culicidae
Exons: 4
Source: RefSeq, a predicted model, not a curated record
AUGAACAGAACAAAAACAAAAAGAAUAGAAGUGAUUAGAUUGGAAGUUUGGAAAGUUGUAAAAUAAAUAUUUAAAAUUUGUGCGUUUCUGCAAUAUUAAUAGCAGUAGUACUGGAAGUGGUAGAAUUAGUGCCAUUUGAUUAAUUACACGGUUAUACCGGAAGGCAAGGGCCAAUUAUAGGAUAACAAUUCAAAUUAAACUGCCAAUAGUUAUCUGGCUAGUGUUUUGAAACUAAAUAAUUGGAGCACUCGUUGUAGGAGGUAAAGCGGAGAAACUAUCUUUUUUGAGCUGCUGAAAUUUGCUGCUACAGAACGGUAGUGUAUUCCCUACAAUCCGAACAGUGUCUGUGGAACGAAGUGGAUCGGAAUACAAAACCACGAAAGAAAAACACAAGCUUAAUAGUUUAACUUUUAUUAGCGACCGUUUCAUCUGAGAAUUAAACUUCGAAUGAUAAUGAAAGAACACAUGUUUUCACACAUUUUGUUAGUAACGGUAAGAUGUUGCUGCGCAGUCAUGAAUAACGAGGGGCGCACUGAUAAUUUUGAAAGUGCCUACAAAAUUCUGUCUUAGAUUCUCUUUCGCCGUCCAUCGCCAAUAGUAAGUAGAUUUGUGGGAAGUUACUAGGCCGGAUUCAUGCUCGGUUGCUCGACGACGGACCACAUUUUUACACUGCGACAGAUCCUCCAAAAGUGCCACGAGUUUCAGGUCGCAUCACAUCUUCGUUGACUUCAAGGCCGCAUAUUAUACAAUCGACCGACGACAGUUAUGGAGGAUUAUGGAUGAACACGGCUUUCCUCGGAAGUUGGCAAGACUGAUUCAGGCAUCGAUGAACGGUGUGCGAUGCAGUGUGCGGAUCUCAGGUGAGCUGUCGGAAUCAUUUGAUACACACAGGGAACUUCGACAAGACGAUGGACUCUCUUGUCUGUUCUUCAACGUGGUGCUGGAAGGUGUUAUGCGGAGAGCGGGCUUCAACAUGCGGGGCACGAUUUUUUAGUCAGUCAGUUCUAGUCUAGUCAGUUUAUCUGCUUCGCCGACGACGUGGACAUAAUCGGAAGAACACAUGCGACGACAUGCCGACUUGUAUACCUGACUGAAACACGAUGCAGGACUGAUUGGGCUUGGGAUCUAUGCGUCUAAGACUAAAUACAUGCUAGCAGGAGGAACUGAUCGCAACAGAGUUUUUCUUGGUAGUAGUGUUAUGAUCGACGGCGACGAGCUCGAGGUGGUAGAGGAAUUUGUCUACCUUGGCUCGUUGAUAACAAUUGACAACAACAAUAGCCGUAAAGUUCGAAGACGCAUAGUCAAUGGAAGUAGUACCCCGUACGAAGGUUAUCAUGUACAAAUCCCUAAUUCGAUCGGUUGUUUUCUAUGGACACGAAGCAUGGACGAUGCUUGAAGAGAACAAACAAGCGCUUGUUUUUUUUAGAACGCCGAGUGCUCAUAGCAAUAUACGGUGAUGUACAGGGAAACGGAGUAUGGAGAAGGAGAAUGAACCACGAACAGGCGCAACUCUACGGCGAACCCAGCAUCCAGAGAGUCGCUAAUGCUGGACGAGUGCUACGUCCAGGGCAUGUUGCAAGAUUGCCGGACAGUAGCCUUGCAAAGAUGGUGUUCGCAUCGAAUCCGGUAGGAACAAGAAGGAGUGGAGCCCAGCGAGCGAGGUGGUUGGACCAGGUGGAGCAGGACUUGGCAAGAAUCGAUGAAGCCGGGAGUUGGAGAACUACAGCCAUGGAUCGGGUUUAUUGGCGAAAAGUUGUGAAUCAUAUUUAGUCUCUCAAUGAGAUAUUGAAUCAUUGUAAAUGGUAACCCAAAAAAAAGCCAAGCGAACGAUCGUGGGUUCGGCUUUGACUGAUUGGCCUUUUUCAAUACUAGAGGCGAAUGAACUUUGUAGUUUAAAUAGAAAAAAAUCACACACGGAUUGAUGUUCUAACGAAAACAUAUGUAGAACAUUUGAAUUAGCAUGCAAAAAACACGGGGUAGAAAACAGAACAAGAUCAACUUGGAUACAAAUGAAUUACUCACAAAUUUAUUACAUUUUUAAUAUUAAAAAAAUAAAUUUUAAUAUAUAAAUAUUUUUACUGAGUUGUAGGAGAAAUUUUUAACUAAAUUCUUAUUCAUCAAAGAAAUAAUUUCAUCACUAUCUUCC